GCCCCGCACCCCUCCCCCGUCUCAGUGGUGGAGAAGGGGACACCUCAUUUUCUUGGAACCACUCCUUCUACCUCCCGGGGUUUCCAGAACUUUAAGGCAUCCCAGCAACCCUAUAGUUCCACGAGUCCUGCCUCCUUACACAGUACCUCUCAGAAAGAACAGCUUCCAGUAUGGAGAAGCGACCCUCUGGGGACUCCUCCUCCAACCUUUUUUGGGGGCCCUCCAGAGAAGCCUUAUUAUUAGGAAGGGGAGGCAAAAGGAAACCUCUCAGCACUAUGGGCUUGAAAAGCACCCCUCCCCCAGGGCUUGGUACCUGUUGGGUGGAUGGAAGAAUCUCUCUGCCAAUCUUAGAAGGCAAGGAGAGGUCACACAAGGCCACCUCAAGGUUAGGCAGAAUCAAAGAGAAAAAGACCCAUCCUGUUUUCGGCAGUAGGACUGUUAAGAUUCUAGAACCUUUCAGCAUGGUGAGGAAUAUCUUCCCCCAGCCCCCAUCGCCUGAAGAGUGACAGGUUUUUACUGUUUUCCUUCCGUCUUACUCUACUCCACACCUCUUUAGCUGGCUGACAGCCAGCAAUUCAGAGAGCUGCUUCCUGUACACUGAGAGGGUGGAUUCCAGCUACUCCCAAAGAAUGAACUUGAUAAACCAUUAGGUGCUCCCCUAAACAUUCUCACAACCUCCUUUCUCCACCAGAACCCCAUGAAGUCCAAGGGGCUGGGGCAUCCCCUCAUUCUUCCACACCCACCUCUCCAAAUGGGCUUUUUAAAAAAAAAUUACACUGAUUCUUUUAAAUUUUAUUAUAUGAAAGCCAUACACAUUUACUGUAGAAAUGCAGUAACGUCGAAAAUCUGGAAAUUACAGAAAAACCAAAGAGGAAAAUUACAAUUACUUUAUUCCACCAUCCAAAAAUAACCACUAUUAUUAACGUUUCGGGGUUUGUCCUCAGUCUUUUUUAUCUGUUUUAUGUAUAGAAGUAUACACCCAUAUCUUAAAAAUGAAAAUUGAGAUCACAUAACACUAUUUUUAUAACCUUUUUAAUAUUCAAAAAGCAUUUUUCUUUCCAGGCAAAUGUUUUUCUACAUAACUUUUAAUGGCUGCACAGUACUCCACCAUCUGGAUGGAUAUACAAUAAUUUACUUAAGCAAUUCCCUAUUGCAAAUUUUCAUUACAGCAGGAAAGAAAUGAAUUCCCAGUCACAGCGUUGCUUUAUAUUUUUCUCUAUUGCAAUGCUGGGAUGAACAUCUUACACCUUAAUCUUUAAUUAUUUUCUUAGGAUAAAUUGCCAAAUGUAGAAUUAUUAGGUCAAAGGCUAUAGAAACUUUUAGGGUGUUUAAUACAUAUUACCAAACCAACAUCCAGAAGGCUGCACCAAUUUGUACCCCCAUAUGCAACGCAUGGGAGUGUUAUUAUUUUAAUACUCCUUUGCCAAUACUGGGUCUUAUUUUUUUCUGUUAUAGUUUGCUAAGGGAAAAAUACUUCCAGUUAUAUUUGCCUUUCUUUACUAAUGAAACACAUUUUUUUUCAUGGUUUUAUCCUUUUAAAUUUUGUUUAUGAGUUUCCUGUGUGAGUCCUUUCACAGUUGGCUCUUGCUCCUUGAGGCUACUUAGAUAAAAAAUUGCAGGAUAGAAUUACAGAGAAGAGGUGGAAAUAGGAGGAUGAAGCCACAGGACGCUUUAAUAUGGUCUUACAUCUCUGAGGGAGGUGGAAAGACUGGAGAGAAAUGGCGAAUGAAGUAGACGGCUGGAAGCUUGUCCUUGAUGGAGGCUGGCUGUCCUCCCUCCUCCAGGGGUCCUUCUGGCCUUUAUGGCCCACUCUGUGGGGUGCCCAGACAGGGCCCUGUGCUCUCUGGGCCUGGUCCUUCACUGGUCUUCUGCCUGUCUCUGUGUUUCCAGGCUGCUCCUCCUCAUCUCUGCUCCAUGAUGGAAGAGGACGGCAGAGUCACAUACCCAGGGUGGGAGGGAGACACUGUGGCCAGUGAAGCAAGGAGGGGAAGAAAGGACAGAAGCAACGUCCAGGGACAGAGUGAUCUUCAUUGUAGCCUGUGAGUGGAUUCUGUCUGCCCACCCUCCUCUACUGCAGUCCCACAUACACCCAGCUUAGGCUGCAGAAUAAUGGGGUCAAUGAUCUCCUGUCCCCUAAAUCUCUGUUUGUCAUAAAUGGAGAACAGGACCCAGCUCCCUGCACACCUGCUGCCCCAAAGCAGAACAAACAGCUUUCUGUAGCCCCUGAAGGUGGCCACGUUCAGGCCGGGAGACAAGGCCAAAGCUGAAUCACGUCAGAACCUGAGCCCAAGAGUGAGACUGGAUCAGGAGCUGGGGGUGGCAGGUUUACACUGCCUGACGCCCCAGAGGGGGUGCAUCCCACAACCUCUCUCUCCUGGUUGCUAGAGGGUAGGAUUUCCUGCCUGUACAAGCCUGAGCUGAUCUCACACACUAUCCCAAAAAACAAAGUGAGGGAAGAAACAGCAGCGGCAGCUAGAGGUCCAUCACGGGCUGCACUCCUGCUGUGGGUGGCAGGGGAAGCCUGAGGCCACCUGUGCAUGGUGGAAACUCCGUGUGGAGACCGACUCCUACUAGCCCCUUGCAUUCAUCUAACCCUACCCCUCCCUCCACCCCACCCCACAACAGCUCCUGUGGUUACAGUCAUGGAUGGAGGAGGGGCAACAGCUUAUGUGAAAAGCUGUUUUGUUCCCACCCACAGGGGGAGGAGAGCCCAGGCUCUGUCUGCACAAGCGGGCUUCUGAUUCCCUCAUGCACACUCUACUGUGUGAUUCCCCAUCUCACAGGUGGAGAAGCUGAGACAGGAGGUCUAGGGUCCUACAUAUAGGAAAGUAUCCCGGAAUCCAGAGUCUGGGCCAGUCCCAGGAAAUACAGGGAAAGAUAUUUCUUUGCUCCACUUCUUCCCAUUGUCACACAAAGACCAACUAGCCUCACGUAGUCAGAGCCAUCUAUUCCCCAAUUCAGCCACGGUCUCUAACCUGAAAUGCUUCUCUCUUGCUGGGCCAAUCUAGGUGAAGGCUCUCCAACUGAACAGGGUUCCCUUUGCCAAAAGGUAUCAUCACUCCCGCUGUCCAGACCUUCCCAGCCCCAGCUCUGUCACCUUCCAGACGAGGGGGAAAGCAGCUCCUUCUCCUCUUCCUCCUCCUCGAAGCCAGGGGCAGAGGGCAACAGUUCUUCAACUGGCAGCUUUAGCUGGGUCAGGACAUAAAGCUUGCCACUGAAGAACUACUGCGGCUCAGCCAGGUGAGGAUGUGGGAGGUACAGGCUCCUGAGGGAAAGGGAAGAAAGAUGGGAAAGAUCUGAGCAGGGCCAUGUCACAGGGAUACUGUCCCACUGGCUGUCAAAGUCCAGUCCCAGCAGAUACUCCACCUUCUAAUGAGGGGUUCUUGGCUCUAACCUGAGCCUGCAGGAGCUGUUAACUUCAGUGAGAAGCAAGAGGCAGCUCUAAACAUACUUCUUUGCUCCUCUUUAAGAACUGAAGGCUGUAGAAACCCAAGCCUGUGCUCCCCCCCCUUUCCCCAGCUACCCACAGGGGGCAGGGAGGGGCAGCUUCCUCAGCAUUCAGAGAGCCCAGGACCUGGGACCCUGGAACACAUCCCACCAGUCGCUUAGGUCCCAAGUGAGAAGCUGCACCUCAGGUCCAGAAAUAUGAGUUCAGUGAUCAGCCCUGCUGACUCGUUUCCAGGGAGUUCAGCUGGAAGAAGAGUUUUGGGGGCCUACAUCUGGGGAAGAGUGAGGAAGGGAGGAGGUCUAGAGUUUGGAAGGUCAGCAGAGGCUCCAGGGACUGUGAGGAGAGGACAGGGGACCAAAGGUUGGAGGGGAGGGAGGUAUGGGCAGGGUGGUUGGGCAGCUUCCCCAGGACUCUCAAAUGCCAGGCAUUCCGCUUGCGCAUUCCGGGUACAUCUGGUAUGAAUUCCAGGCUGUCUGCCGGCCCCUCCAUGUCUGAACUUUGUUCCAAGUUCCAAGCCCCGCCCCCACAGUUCCAACGCAUGAAUCAGCAGGAAAAGCCGGGCCCAGCAGCAUGGCCCAGGGAGGGGGCUGGGGGCGUGGCAGGCUUGAGGGCUGUGAGCUGGGGAGGGCGGGUCUGUGCUGACACUCAGUCCAAGGGCAUGGCCCAUGCCAGUGUGAGGGGCCAAGGUGGUCUCGCCUUGAGAUUUCUAUACUCAGAGGGUUAGAAAGAUUAGGGUGGGAGUGGGAGGUUUUCAAAUUACAAAACCCUCUUGGGAGGCAUAAACUUUGUGGUAUCUUUCUUCCCCCAGGUGACCAGUCCAGUUCCUUCUCACUCCCCUCUGUCUGAGCCGGCUCUAUUCAGCCCAUAGGUCUCAGCGGCUGCUAAGAGUUUGUGCCAAGCAGGUGCCCUUGGCUGCAGGGUGGGGUAGGCCCAGGGCACUGACCCUCUGACCAGCUGCUCCAUCAACCCUUUGGCAUGCUGACAGCUCCUAGUCCAGUCUUAACAGCCAGGAUGACAGGCCAAAUGAGUUGGAGCCUGCAACUAGGGCCAGAGGGAGGUGGGGGAGAUAGCCUAGCCAGAGGCCACUGGGAGGGGCCAAGAGUUGGCCGAGAGGUGGGGAGAGAGGGAGCCCAGUGAUGACUAACCCAGGCGCCCCACCCAGCCAGCCGGCUUCCCAGGCGGUCAGGGCCAGGCCUGGGCUAGGGGCCCCACAACCGGACAGGCUGGGGGGAGGUGCAGAGGUGACCUUCUCUCGGCCCAAGACGGCCAGUUAGGCUGGGGAGGGGGGAUUAGAGUUUCCAGGCCCUCCUCUUGCCCGCUCCCUCCACCAACCGCGGUGAAACUCUAACCUUUGGGUUGCAUAAGGCCCCCGCACCGCCGCCCCCUAUUCCUCUCCCCUCCCCCCUUACAUAACAUCCCCUGGAGGGAACGAGAGGAGGGGCCAGCCCGCCCAGAGACCCCUUCUCUGCCAGGGCGCUCAGCUGGCCCUGCCUCAGUGAGUGCCGGUAGAGGCAAAGCCCCUCCCUGCUACCCGCCCCGCUCAAAUCCUCCCCAAGCUGGGAGGCCGGCUCCCGUAUCCUCGGACCAGAGGGCGCCGAGGUUAGCCGCCCCCAGCCUUCGGCCCCUCGUCUUCCUCCCAGCUACUCCGCAAGACCUUCCGCCACGACUCCCGUCCAGGACUCUACCUUUAAACCUCCUGACACACUACUCCAGCCAGUCUAGGCCCCUA
This is a long non-coding RNA of Equus asinus (donkey), 5177 nucleotides long. NCBI's taxonomy places the organism in Eukaryota, Metazoa, Chordata, Mammalia, Perissodactyla, Equidae. The record is from Ensembl.